AUUAACGUUGGCGGCGUGCCUAAUACAUGCAAGUCGAGAGGUGUAAGACCUCGGCAAACGGGUGAGUAAUACAUGGGUAUUUGCCUUAUACUCGGGGAUAACUCCGCGAAAGCGGAGAUAAUACCCGAUAGUCUCGCAAGAGUAAAGAUUUAUCGGUAUAAGAGAAGCCUGUGCUCUAUCAGCUAGUUGGUGAGGUAAUGGCUCACCAAGGCUAUGACGGAUAGCUGGUCUGAGAGGAUGACCAGCCACACUGGGACUGAGACACGGCCCAGACUCCUACGGGAGGCAGCAGUCGGGAAUUUUGGACAAUGGGGGAAACCCUGAUCCAGCGACGCCGCGUGGAGGAAGAAGGUUUUCGGAUUGUAAACUCCUUUUCACUAGGAGGCCCAGGUUUUUGGUUGCAAAUUUUUAUUUGCGAACAAAAAUCUGGGAUACAGUACUAGUGGAAUAAGUCACGGCUAACUACGU
This 468-nucleotide ribosomal RNA is filed under the name uncultured bacterium. Its description in RNAcentral is "bacterial SSU rRNA". It matches the Rfam family "Bacterial small subunit ribosomal RNA", at positions 29 to 506 of the family's 1533-position model. The record is from RNAcentral.